Molecule: non-coding RNA, 719 nt
Organism: Pogona vitticeps (central bearded dragon)
Lineage: Eukaryota; Metazoa; Chordata; Lepidosauria; Squamata; Agamidae
Source: RefSeq, a predicted model, not a curated record
GGAGGGGUGGAGCCGUCGGUGAAAGCGCUUGCGCGCAGUGUUGGGCGCACCCAAGGAGCCUUAAAGGGUUCGAAUCCCGCUUUCGUCUUCUUUGGCUCUAAAUCUAAUCCCUAAUAUAACUCAAGUUUCAUUGAGCCUACCUCAUUCCAGAGAGAGCGAGAGAAAAGCACAAUCAGGACAUCACAUCUCCACACCCUGGCACCAUGUCGUAAAUCCUCCAGUCCUAUAGAUGUCUCUGUGGGAACGUGGGAAGAAGAGCCCAAAGAAGACGACAAGUUAAAAAAAAAACCCACAAGUCUAUGGAUAGUGUGUUUCCUUCUGUUAAUUUGCUGGCAGAGGAAAAGAAGGGAGGAAGGAAAAAGAGAGAGAGAAGAAAGAGAACAACAACAAGAAGAAGAAAUUUCCAAAACCUAACAAACAUCAGGAAGGACCAAGGAGGAAGAAAACAGAUGUAGAGAAGGACUCUCUCGCCCAGAUGAUGUAAAAAAAUAACAAAACCUCUCAGGCUGUUCAAAAUAGAAGCUGGCACUGCCCCGCUGAAUCUCCACAGGAGGGGAGGAAAAGAAAUAUCCAGGAAUGUGUGGGUGUGGAAGGAAAAACCGACGCCAGAUGAAACCAAGAUAUGGACUGUCUGCCUCCCUUCUCUUUGGGUAAGCUAAAAGGGAAAAAGAAAGGACAGACUGAGGAGCAGAAGGCAAACCCUACAAAUCAAGUUCAAA